RNAcentral lists this transfer RNA (76 nucleotides) under Rickettsiales bacterium. Its description in RNAcentral is "tRNA-Lys". It matches the Rfam family "tRNA". Rfam says of the family: Transfer RNA (tRNA) molecules are approximately 80 nucleotides in length. Their secondary structure includes four short double-helical elements and three loops (D, anti-codon, and T loops). Further hydrogen bonds mediate the characteristic L-shaped molecular structure. tRNAs have two regions of fundamental functional importance: the anti-codon, which is responsible for specific mRNA codon recognition, and the 3' end, to which the tRNAs corresponding amino acid is attached (by aminoacyl-tRNA synthetases). tRNAs cope with the degeneracy of the genetic code in two manners: having more than one tRNA (with a specific anti-codon) for a particular amino acid; and 'wobble' base-pairing, i.e. permitting non-standard base-pairing at the 3rd anti-codon position. The record is from RNAcentral. Lineage: Bacteria; Pseudomonadati; Pseudomonadota; Alphaproteobacteria; Rickettsiales.
GCCGCUUUAGCUCAGCUGGUAGAGCACCGCAUUCUUACUGCGUGGGUCGUGGGUUCGAGUCCAACACGCGGCACCA